UCCUGACGGUAGUCGUAUGCUCGUCUCCGAGACUAAGCCAUGCAAGUCCAAGUACACGUCCUUGAACGACGGAAACUGCGAACGGCUCAUUAAAUCAGUUGCGAUCUACUCGGCGUUCCGCGCCGCCGGAUAACCGUAGUAAUUCUAGGGCUAAUACGUGCGAAGCGCCCGAAGCCGCGAGGCGACGGGCGUUCUCGCCGGAUGUAGGAACCGACCCGGGGACCGCCGGGGCAACCCGGCGCCCCCGAGACGGGGCGAACCACGGUGAAAUGACGGAUCGUCGGCCCCGCGCCGGCGACUCGCCGAAUGAGUUUCUGACCUAUCAACUCGAGACGGCGGGGUAGAGGCCCGCCGCGGUAACGACGGGUAACGGGGAAUCAGGGUUCGAUUCCGGAGAGGGAGCCCGAGAAACGGCUACC
This 419-nucleotide ribosomal RNA is filed under the name uncultured eukaryote. Its description in RNAcentral is "bacterial SSU rRNA". It matches the Rfam family "Eukaryotic small subunit ribosomal RNA", at positions 12 to 411 of the family's 1831-position model. The record is from RNAcentral.